AGUGAACGCUGGCGGUAGGCCUAACACAUGCAAGUCGAACGGCAGCACAGUAAGAGCUUGCUCUUACGGGUGGCGAGUGGCGGACGGGUGAGGAAUACAUCGGAAUCUACUUUUUCGUGGGGGAUAACGUAGGGAAACUUACGCUAAUACCGCAUACGACCUACGGGUGAAAGCAGGGGAUCUUCGGACCUUGCGCGAUUGAAUGAGCCGAUGUCGGAUUAGCUAGUUGGCGGGGUAAAGGCCCACCAAGGCGACGAUCCGUAGCCGGUCUGAGAGGAUGAUCAGCCACACUGGAACUGAGACACGGUCCAGACUCCUACGGGAGGCAGCAGUGGGGAAUAUUGGACAAUGGGCGCAAGCCUGAUCCAGCCAUACCGCGUGGGUGAAGAAGGCCUUCGGGUUGUAAAGCCCUUUCGUUGGGAAAGAAAAGCAGCAGGUUAAUACCCCGCUGUUCUGACGGUACCCAAAGAAUAAGCACCGGCUAACUUCGUG
RNAcentral lists this ribosomal RNA (492 nucleotides) under uncultured bacterium. Its description in RNAcentral is "partial 16S ribosomal RNA". It matches the Rfam family "Bacterial small subunit ribosomal RNA", at positions 29 to 507 of the family's 1533-position model. The record is from RNAcentral.